RNAcentral lists this transfer RNA (72 nucleotides) under Patescibacteria group bacterium. RNAcentral describes it as "tRNA-His". It matches the Rfam family "tRNA". From Rfam's summary of the family: Transfer RNA (tRNA) molecules are approximately 80 nucleotides in length. Their secondary structure includes four short double-helical elements and three loops (D, anti-codon, and T loops). The record is from RNAcentral. RNAcentral also lists the same sequence under 1 other name.
GUGGCCAUAGCUCAACGGCAGAGCGCGAGGUUGUGGACCUUGAGGUUGCGCGUUCGAAUCGCGUUGGCCACC